AUUCCGCGGUCACACCUUUACAAAAGCUUCGGCGGCGUAAAUAUAUUGAAAAUAUUGAAAAUUACCAUUAAAUUGACUAAUUCAAGAAUUGAAAACCCAAGUAAAACAAUAAAAAGUCAUGGUGGAUGCCGCAGCAUGCGAAUUACCUUACAAAAACAGGGCAGUAAGUACCGAACGGACCGCAUGCGAAUCUUGCUCGCAUGUGAAUCUGUCUCAUUUCUUUGAUGAUCAUUUUGAAAAUGAAAUUAAUUUCUUCUGUUUUUAGGCCGCUGGCGAGGUUUGCUGCUUGGUAGGAGAGUUGAAUGGCACGCAAAUAAGCGAACUGUGUGGAACGAUGCACUUUGCUGGUCCACAUGGGAUACCCAUGCAUCAAUGUGCAGUUCGAGGAGUCCGAGAAGGAGAGCGACAUAGAGCAAAAAAUGCACAUUAAUUACAGAUAAUGUGAGUAUACAUGCGGUACACAUUGAUAUAAUUUAUGGGUAAUCUGGUGUGUGAUUCUUACUCAACAGUUAGCCAAUGAAGAAGCUGGCAGCAAUGCGAAGAAAGAACGCAACCAUCAGCCCCUGGAAGUCGAUGUCUAAUCCACCAGAGUUGUUUAAGCUAGUUUCACAAGGAUGCUAACGUUGCGCAGAACAAGUUGGUCUAUGCGUUCAAGAUCCUCAAAGUAGGUCUACGAAAAUCAAUUUUUACUGUUGCUGGGCCAUGCUUGCUUUGACUUCAACUUUGCCUGCUCCCAAAUUGGGCGAUACGAAGCAGACACUGGGCUUGUGUGAAUGUUUUGAGCUCGAAUGUGUGGCUGUGGAUGUGGCACUGAGAAGGUAAGGUGUAUAUUUACACUUCUAGCAGCUCUCCUUUUACCUGUUCUCCUUUCGUUUGUUUCAGGCAAUCGAACCCGUUUUCGUUUUCAUGGAGCUGAAGGAUGAGGAUUGUACGCGUCAGCUGCAGCACUCCAAUACACAGAUGGCCGAUGGGGUCCGUUACUGCAAUCGGUAACAUUCCAACGCAGAAGAUCGAAGAAGGCUGGCGGGUCGUUCUUCCGGGCAAACCUGACUUUUCUUUGUAAGACAUGCGACUCUUACGAUCAGGAUUACAUGUUCUUCAUCAAAGUGGACGAUCUCCAAUAUAAGAAUGAGAGCACAUCGGAUUAGGUUAAGAUUAGCAUAACAAAUGUAUCCACCAAUUUUGCAAACAUGAAGUGAACCAAGUUUUGUCGAAUAAUAAAAAGCGUGGCAUACUUUCAGGUUGAAAGGAU
Molecule: long non-coding RNA, 1252 nt
Filed under: Drosophila guanche
Lineage: Eukaryota; Metazoa; Arthropoda; Insecta; Diptera; Drosophilidae
Source: RNAcentral